Molecule: ribosomal RNA, 463 nt
Filed under: uncultured bacterium
Lineage: Bacteria
Description: partial 16S ribosomal RNA
Rfam family: Bacterial small subunit ribosomal RNA
Source: RNAcentral
GACGAACGCUGGCGGCGUGCUUAACACAUGCAAGUCGAACGGAAAGGCCUUUUCGGAGGUACUCGAGUGGCGAACGGGUGAGUAACACGUGGGUGAUCUGCCCUGCACUCUGGGAUAAGCCUGGGAAACUGGGUCUAAUACCGGAUAGGACCGCACUUUAGUGUGUGUGGGGGAAAGUUUUUUCGGUGUAGGAUGAGCCCGCGGCCUAUCAGCUUGUUGGUGGGGUAAUGGCCUACCAAGGCGGCGACGGGUAGCCGGACUGAGAGGUUGGUCGGCCACAUUGGGACUGAGAUACGGCCCAGACUCCUACGGGAGGCAGCAGUGGGGAAUAUUGCACAAUGGGCGCAAGCCUGAUGCAGCGACGCCGCGGGGGGGAUGACGGCCUUCGGGUUGUAAACUCCUUUCGCCAGGGACGAAGCGUUUUGUGACGGUACCUGGAGAAGAAGGACCGGCUAACUACGUG